UCCGGCUUGCCACCGGCAGUUCCACUAGAGUCCCCAACUUUACUCGAUGGCAACAAGUGACAAGGGUUGCGCUCGUUACGGGACUUAACCCAACAUCUCACAACACGAGCUGACGACAGCCAUGCAGCACCUGUCUCUCGGUUCCCGAAGGCACAGUCAAAUCUCUUCAACCUCCCGAGGAUGUCAAGGGUAGGUAAGGUUUUUCGCGUUGCAUCGAAUUAAACCACAUGCUCCACCGCUUGUGCGGGCCCCCGUCAAUUCCUUUGAGUUUUAACCUUGCGGCCGUACUCCCCAGGCGGAGAACUUACCGCGUUAGCUUCGCCACUCAGUGAUUUAACUCACCCAACAGCUAGUUCUCAUCGUUUACAGCGUGGACUAC
This 379-nucleotide unclassified non-coding RNA is filed under the name uncultured Gammaproteobacteria bacterium. RNAcentral describes it as "contains 16S-23S intergenic spacer region". Lineage: Bacteria; Pseudomonadati; Pseudomonadota; Gammaproteobacteria. The record is from RNAcentral.